ACGUAGGGUGCAAGCGUUGUCCGGAAUUAUUGGGCGUAAAGGGCUCGUAGGCGGUCUGUCGCGUCGGAUGUGAAAAUCCAGGGCUCAACCCUGGACCUGCAUUCGAUACGGGCAGACUAGAGUUCGGCAGGGGAGACUGGAAUUCCUGGUGUAGCGGUGAAAUGCGCAGAUAUCAGGAGGAACACCGGUGGCGAAGGCGGGUCUCUGGGCCGAUACUGACGCUGAGGAGCGAAAGCGUGGGGAGCGAACAGGA
This 253-nucleotide ribosomal RNA is filed under the name uncultured prokaryote. RNAcentral describes it as "partial 16S ribosomal RNA". It matches the Rfam family "Bacterial small subunit ribosomal RNA", at positions 525 to 777 of the family's 1533-position model. The record is from RNAcentral.